Molecule: ribosomal RNA, 496 nt
Filed under: uncultured bacterium
Lineage: Bacteria
Description: partial 16S ribosomal RNA
Rfam family: Bacterial small subunit ribosomal RNA
Source: RNAcentral
GAUGAACGCUAGCGGCAGGCUUAACACAUGCAAGUCGAGGGGUAGAGUGGCUUCGGCUACUUGAGACCGGCGCACGGGUGCGUAACGCGUAUGCAAUCUACCUUAUACAGGGGGAUAGCCCAGAGAAAUUUGGAUUAAUACCCCAUCGUAUUUUCGAAUGGCAUCAUUUGAUUAUUAAAGUUCCAACGGUAUAAGAUGAGCAUGCGUCACAUUAGCUAGAUGGUAAGGUAACGGUUUACCAUGGCUACGAUGGGUAGGGGUCCUGAGAGGGAGAUCCCCCACACGGGUACUGAGACACGGACGAGACUCCUACGGGAGGCAGCAGUGAGGAAUAUUGGGCAAUGGUCGCAAGACUGACCCAGCCAUGCCGCGUGCAGGAUGACGGUCCUAUGGAUUGUAAACUGCUUUUGUACAGGAAGAAACACUCCUACGUGUAGGAGCUUGACGGUACUGUAAGAAUAAGGAUCGGCUAACUCCGUGCCAGCAGCCGCCGUAA